GCGAGAGUGGCGGAAUUGGCAGACGCGCCAGAUUUAGGUUCUGGUGGGCAACCAUUGGGGGUUCGACUCCCCCCUCUCGCACCA
Molecule: transfer RNA, 84 nt
Filed under: Pseudomonadota bacterium
Lineage: Bacteria; Pseudomonadati; Pseudomonadota
Description: Proteobacteria bacterium (cold seep metagenome) tRNA-Leu
Rfam family: tRNA
About the family: Transfer RNA (tRNA) molecules are approximately 80 nucleotides in length.
Source: RNAcentral